Molecule: long non-coding RNA, 2750 nt
Organism: Homo sapiens (human)
Lineage: Eukaryota; Metazoa; Chordata; Mammalia; Primates; Hominidae
Gene: GRHL2-DT
Product: GRHL2 divergent transcript
Exons: 2
Source: RefSeq, marked validated
ACAUGGGGCCCGAGCUCGGAGGCGGCCGGGCGGCGCGGAGUCCUCCUGGAUCGUGGCAAUGGGCAGACACAGAGCAGAAAGUGGCGGACUUGGGCGGCCACAGGUAACUUUCUCGCAAGGAGCUGAAUUCUUUCACUAAAGGGUACAAGCCCGAGGGACGAGCUGCGCGAUGAUUGGCUGGGGAGCUCCCUCAGGUGAGCUGCCAUUGGCAGAGGCGCGCUCAGGCAGUUGGCCUUUCAGUCAUGAGGGAGGAUCUCUCAGAGUGACCUACAGCUCCUUCUGUCUCCUGCCUGGAUGUCAGAUGUUAGAGACGCACUAAAGGCUUGCUACUUAGAGUGCAGCAGCAGACCAGUUUGCUGUUGGAAUAACCUGGUAGCUGGCUAGAAGUACAGAAUCUCAGGCUGCACCUCAGACCUCCUGAAUCAAACUUGCAGUUUCACAAGAUUUGUAUGGACAUUAGAGUUUGAGAAACACUUGUCUAAGGCUUGGAGAUACAGCCAUGAGUGGAAGCUGUAGCUUCUGGGGAUUCAGGGCAAAGAAUGACAUGAAUUUUUGUAGGUAAAUUGUGACCAAUGGACCAAGUGUAUCGUUGUAUCAGAGAUUACUCUUCAAAAAUCAGCCGUGAUUAUCAAUGAAUGAAAUUAAUAUGGCGAAGUGUUGAUGGGAAACUUUAGAAUGAGCUAUGAGUUGGUCACCACCUAAACCCGUUGAUCAAUCUUAACAUCACCAGACCUGAUGGGCCUCCUGAAGGACCAACAUGGCCAAGCCCAUGGCAUUACCUUUGAGGUGUUCUUGUCUGAAAAGUAAGAUGAAUUGAAUCAAGCCUCUAGAGCUAAUGCCUACAGGAAAUAAGGGAGAUAAGAAAACAAGUUGAAUGGCACUCCAAAGAGCCAAGGGAAAACAAUCUCCAAUGUUGGGAAGCCUACAGGCAGCAGAGUUAGUUACUGCAACAAGUCAGUGGCAUGGGGGAAAAUAUGUGAAGGUUGGAGAGGGGAAGAACCUACAUUAAAAUGGAUUUAAAAGGCAAAGAACUAAAUGUAAUCUGUGGACCUGGUUUGGAUCUUGAUUUAGACAAUUAACAACCACCUGGUGCUUGGCUCACUGGUUGCUCGUCCCAGCACUAAGGGCCAAGAAUAAAAGGACAUCAAUUUACCUUUCUCAAUCUUACUCCCCAAUAUUCCCCUUCACUGAUUCUGUGCACCAGUUGAACUGCUCUGCUCUGCACAUUAAAUAUUGCAUUUUUCAGCUGUUUUUGUUUGUUUGUUUGUUUGUUUUGAGACAGAGUCUUUCUUUGUCACCCAGGCUGGAGUGCAGUGGAACCAUCUCAGCUCCCUGUAACCUCCACCUUUCAGGUUCAAGAAGUUCUUGUGCCUCAGCCUCCUGAGUAGCUGAGAUUACAAACGUGCACCACCACACCCAGUAUUUUUAGUAGAGAUGGGUUUCACCAUGUUGGCCAAGCUGGUCUCAAACUCCUGGCCUCAUGUAAUUUGCCCACCUCGGCCUCCAAAAGUGCCGGGAUUACAGGCGUGAGCCUCCACGCCCCACCAAAAGUAACAAUUUUAAGAGUUCUGUAUGUAUUUGUAACUAAGUAAGCAUUUUAUUUCUUUUUAACUGUAUUUAUUUAUUUAUUUAUUUUGAAACAGAGUCCACUCUUGUUGCCCAGGCUGCAGUGCAAUGGCGUGAUCUCGGCUCACUGCAACCUCCACCUUCUGGUUUCAAGCAAUUCUCCUGCCUUAGCCUCCCGAGUAACUGGGAUUACAGGCGUCCAUCACCACGCACCACUCAUUUUUUUUUUGUAUUUUUAGUAGAGACGGGGUUUCACCAUAUUGGCCAGGCUGGUCUCAAACUCCUGACCUCAUGAUCCACGUGCCUCGGCCUCCCAAAGUGCUGGGAUUAUAGGCGUGAGCCACUGUGCUCCGCCUAAGUAAGCAUUUUUAAAAUGAAACAAUGGUAUGUUUGUUGUCUGUUGCUGUGUAACAAACUAUCCCAAAAUUUAGCAGCUUAAAACACAAACACUGAACAUACCACAUAGUUUCUAAGAGUCAGCAAUCCAGGAGCAGCUCAGCCAGGGUUCAAGGUCUCUCAUGAACUUAUGGUCAAGCUACCAGCAGGGGCUGUGGUCAUCUGAAGGUCAGAGGAUCGCAUGGUUGUUCCACAGACUGUUGGGCACGCUUUAAUUAUAGGCCUUGUGAAGCUCUCCACAUCGAUGUCUGAAUAUCCUCACGACAUACAAAAGCUGGUUUCCCCUAAAGCAAGUGACAGAGAGAAAGAGAGAGACAGAAACAGAAGUCACAGCAUCUUUCAUAACCUGAUUUUGGAAGUGAAAAACUAUUCUUUCUGCUGUUUCCUAUUGUUCAUAUAGACCAAUCUUGGUGCAGUGUAAGAAAAAAAUGUACGAGAGACACAGAAUCUUCAGGGGCUGUCUUAAAGACUGCCUACCCAAUAUGGGUAGUUUCCAAAGCUUAAAAAAAAAACUUGUUUUAAAUACACCUUAUUCAAACAAGAUGCUUAUAAAAAUAAAAUAGGUGUGAGGAUAUUGUGUAAUAUGUAGCUAAGUAUGCAUCCUGUUAGAACGUCAAAUCAGUCUUAACAGGAGAGCUUAAAGUGUUUCAUAGGUCUUUUAUUUUGGAUUUUUUUUCCUUUUUUUAAUCUUUUCCUUUUAUUUUUAUUAGUGCAUGCUACUUCGAACAAGAUAUUUGGUAUGCUUUAAUGAUUAUAUGUUUCCAUAAUAAAUGCAAUCCUUUCUUGUU